UACGUAGGUGGCAAGCGUUAUCCGGAUUUAUUGGGCGUAAAGAGAACGCAGGCGGUCUUUUAAGUCUGAUGUGAAAGCCUUCGGCUUAACCGGAGUAGUGCAUUGGAAACUGGGAGACUUGAGUGCAGAAGAGGAGAGUGGAACUCCAUGUGUAGCGGUGAAAUGCGUAGAUAUAUGGAAGAACACCAGUGGCGAAAGCGGCUCUCUGGUCUGUAACUGACGCUGAGGUCCGAAAGCGUGGGUAGCAAACAGG
Molecule: ribosomal RNA, 253 nt
Filed under: uncultured bacterium
Lineage: Bacteria
Description: partial 16S ribosomal RNA
Rfam family: Bacterial small subunit ribosomal RNA
Source: RNAcentral